Leucoraja erinaceus (little skate) is the source of this 711-nucleotide RNA transcript. It is a transcript of the gene named mitochondrial ribosomal protein L36, with no coding region annotated. The transcript has 2 exons. The record is from RefSeq and is a predicted model, not a curated record. NCBI's taxonomy places the organism in Eukaryota, Metazoa, Chordata, Chondrichthyes, Rajiformes, Rajidae.
AGUCAAAGGUAGUUAACAACAUGAGACUGGAAAGUAGUUUUCUGCAUUAGGCAUGUUUAUGAUAAAUCAAAAUGAAGUAGUUAUUUGGCUCAUAGUCUGCAUUUGUACUAAUUCUACAACAAUCCCAUGUUAUCCGUCCCACAGUUCCAUUAGCAGCUCUGUGUCUCUGCCACUCUACUGUACAUUUAAGGAAAUUUAUAGCAGCUCACCAAUCUACACAUCUUUGGAAUGUGGAAAGAAAUUGGAGCACUUGGAGGAAACCCAUGUGAUCACAAGGAGAAUAUGCAACUUCCAUACAGGAGUUCAGAAUAGGAAACAGUCAGACAGUUUACAGUUUACUGUUACUUCGAGACAAGGCAAUGGAAUCCGGAGCAAAAUACAAACUGCUGGAGAGAGGAACUCAGGAGGUCGAACAACAUCAGUGGAAGGAAAGAAAAUGUCAAUGUCCUGAUGUUAUGAAACAAUGACAAUUCCUUUCUACAACCCUGGCUGUGAAGCAAGUGGACUGCUAGCUAUGGCACAGAUGACAUAUUGUAAACAGGAAAAGAAAAUGCUGGAAUAAAAAUUCUCAAAUCAGGUGCCAACAAAAUGGCCCUUUUUGUCAAGAAUCUGGUCCAAGCAGUCAACAGGCCUCUUUUGCAAUGGAAUAGAUGCUCAUUCCUUUGGAUGUCGGUUUGUUCGGUGAUGCGUAAGCAAUCGAUUAUUGCAGCC